CUGCGCACACUUCAGCACUGUUGGCCCUACAGAGGGUAGCACACACAGCUGGAGGGAGAACACAGGGGGGUACAUUGCUGACAGACAAGCCACGAUGGACCUGACUUCAGUUCUCUCCCUGGAAACCUGGGUCCUCCUGGCAAUCAGUCUGGUGCUUUUAUACCGAUUCGGGACCCAUAAACAUGACAUCUUUAAGAAACAUGGAAUUCCUGGGCCCAAGCCUCUGCCAUUUGUAGGAACUCUGCUGAGUUACUACAAAGGUACAUGGAAAUUUGAUGUCGAGUGCUAUAAAAAGUAUGG
This is a long non-coding RNA of Peromyscus leucopus (white-footed mouse), 300 nucleotides long. RefSeq lists it as uncharacterized. The transcript is spliced from 3 exons. NCBI's taxonomy places the organism in Eukaryota, Metazoa, Chordata, Mammalia, Rodentia, Cricetidae. The record is from RefSeq and is a predicted model, not a curated record.